UACGAAGGGGGCUAGCGUUGCUCGGAAUCACUGGGCGUAAAGCGCACGUAGGCGGCUUACUAAGUCAGGGGUGAAAUCCUGGAGCUCAACUCCAGAACUGCCUUUGAUACUGGUGAGCUUGAGUCCGGAAGAGGUGAGUGGAACUGCGAGUGUAGAGGUGAAAUUCGUAGAUAUUCGCAAGAACACCAGUGGCGAAGGCGGCUCACUGGUCCGGUACUGACGCUGAGGUGACGAAAGCGUGGGGAGCAAACAGG
This 254-nucleotide ribosomal RNA is filed under the name uncultured bacterium. RNAcentral's name for it is "partial 16S ribosomal RNA". It matches the Rfam family "Bacterial small subunit ribosomal RNA", at positions 524 to 776 of the family's 1533-position model. The record is from RNAcentral.